This 229-nucleotide unclassified non-coding RNA is filed under the name Hevea brasiliensis (rubber tree). Lineage: Eukaryota; Viridiplantae; Streptophyta; Magnoliopsida; Malpighiales; Euphorbiaceae. The record is from RNAcentral.
GAGCGCUAUAACGCUUCUUUGUUGAAUGAGUGCAAAUUAUAGAAGUUCUAGAAUUUAAUGCUGUAUAGACUACUUAGAUGCAUUUUUGUUACAUUGUGUGUUACAUGUUCUUUUGUAUAAAGAACACAGGACCAUCCUCCUGUGGGACAGUUAGUGGGAAGCAAGAGUGCCACCAGCUGCUGUGUAGCUCAUCAAAAAGAGAGAGAAAAGAAAAAAAGAGAGGGGGGAG